Molecule: long non-coding RNA, 846 nt
Organism: Solanum tuberosum (potato)
Lineage: Eukaryota; Viridiplantae; Streptophyta; Magnoliopsida; Solanales; Solanaceae
Exons: 2
Source: RefSeq, a predicted model, not a curated record
UUCACUCUUCACCUUUUCCAGAAAAUGCGUCUGCCCACUCACAUUCCCUUUUUGCGUCUUCUUCCUCGCGAAGAACAACGACCGCUCGUAUCAAUCCGACAAACCUGGAAAAGCUGCAACAAGAAGCAUCGACGGUUCAACAGUACGUCCUCUCCCAUCACCUCUGUCAAAAAAUGGGUCUGGGCCACCGGAAAAAUAUCAAUUUCGGCGUUUCCUUGCUUUAUGCUCCAUCUAUCACUCACCCCCUUCCAAUCAAUCCGAACAGUAGGAUUUUCCAAAAGAUUUUCUUCUCCUUCAUUUCUUUUUAUGUUUCCUCUGAGACUUGAGUUUCCAAGAAUUCAAAUUUUGAAUACUUGGAGCCCAAUUUGGCUAUAAAAGGAACCCAUUUGGUUCUCAUCAAGAUCACCCAGCAACAAUCCAUAAAUCCGAGAAUCAAGCAAAGCCGAGAGAAAAUCCAAGAACCCAUUGUAGAACUGAUAUAUUUACUACAAGCUCUAAAUUUCAAAAUCACUUCAUCUCUUUUUCUCUUUGUUCUCUUGUUCUUAAUCUAUUUCGAUUUCAAGUUCCGAAGUUGAGUUCAAGUUUGGACGUAUACAAAAAAAGCCCUAGUUUGCUGCUCUCAAAAAGAGCACGUUCGGAGUUAGUAUAUGACUCCCCCCUCUGCCCAAAUCAGAGAAGCGACUAACAGCCGCAUAAGCUCAUGUCUAGAUGCCCAUUUUUGCGUCUAUAGUGUCCAACAUUUCCUUCUCUCUUCAAAGUUUUCACGUUCUUUAUAUCAUAUAUGUGUUGUUAUCUUUUGACUAACAUUUUACACAUAAGUAUUUCACUUAUAUUUAUGCUUGCUUU